AACGCAAGUUGCGCCCCAAGCCUUCUGGCCGAGGGCACGUCUGCCUGGGUGUCACAAAUCGUCGUCCCCCCAUCCUCUCGAGGAUAUGGGACGGAAGCUGAUCUCCCGUGUGUUACCGCACGCGGUUGGCCAAAAUCCGAGCUAAGAACGUCAGGAGCGUCUUGACAUGCGGUGGUGAAUUUAAUUCUCGUCAUAUAGUCAGACGUUCCGGUCCAAAAGCUCUUGAUGACCCAAAGUCCUCAACGCGACCCCAGGUCAGGCGGGAUCACCCGCUGAGUUUAA
This 282-nucleotide unclassified non-coding RNA is filed under the name uncultured fungus. Its description in RNAcentral is "partial contains 5.8S ribosomal RNA, internal transcribed spacer 2, and large subunit ribosomal RNA". Lineage: Eukaryota; Fungi. The record is from RNAcentral.